RNAcentral lists this unclassified non-coding RNA (329 nucleotides) under soil metagenome. RNAcentral describes it as "partial contains 5.8S ribosomal RNA, internal transcribed spacer 2, and large subunit ribosomal RNA". The stretch from base 1 to 120 matches the Rfam family "5.8S ribosomal RNA", at positions 35 to 154 of the family's 154-position model. The record is from RNAcentral.
GAUGAAGAACGCAGUGAAAUGCGAUAAGUAGUGUGAAUUGCAGAAUUCAGUGAAUCAUCGAAUCUUUGAACGCACAUUGCGCCCCUUGGUAUCCCGAGGGGCAUGCCUGUUCGAGCGUCAUUUCACCACUCAAGCCUGGCUUGGUGUUGGGCGACGUCCUCUUUGGGGACGCGCCUCGAAACGCUCGGCGGCGUGGCACCGGCUUUAAGCGUAGCAGAAUCUUUCGCUUUGGAAGUCGGGGCCCCGUCUGCCGGAAGACCUUCUCGCAAGGUUGACCUCGGAUCAGGCAGGGAUACCCGCUGAACUUAAGCAUAUCAAUAAGCGGAGGA